RNAcentral lists this non-coding RNA (21 nucleotides) under Caenorhabditis elegans. The record is from RNAcentral. Lineage: Eukaryota; Metazoa; Nematoda; Chromadorea; Rhabditida; Rhabditidae.
UUCAAAUCUAUUGUCUACCUU